RNAcentral lists this transfer RNA (66 nucleotides) under Tyraphus nitidus. Its description in RNAcentral is "tRNA-Thr". Lineage: Eukaryota; Metazoa; Arthropoda; Insecta; Coleoptera; Staphylinidae. The record is from RNAcentral.
GUUUUAAUAAUUUAAAUAUAAAAUUUUGAUUUUGUAAUUCAAAUAUAAGAUUAUUCUUUUAAAACU